ACGCGAAAGGGGAGCAAUCCCUGAGUAGAGUGGCAAACGGGUGAGUAACACGUGGGUGACCUGCCUCAGAGGGGGGGAUAACGUCCCGAAAGGGACGCUAAUACCGCAUAACAUCCUGCCUUUGGAAAGGCGGAGAUCAAAGCCGGGGAUCGCAAGACCUGGCGCUUGGAGAGGGGCCCGCGUCUGAUUAGCUAGUUGGUAGGGUAAUGGCCUACCAAGGCAACGAUCAGUAUCCGGCCUGAGAGGGCGGACGGACACACUGGGACUGAGACACGGCCCANACUCCUACGGGAGGCAGCAGUGGGGAAUUGUUCGCAAUGGGCGCAAGCCUGACGACGCAACGCCGCGUGGAGGAUGAAGAUCUUCGGGUCGUAAACUCCUGUCGAGCGGGACGAACACUUAUCCAGUGAACAUCUGGGGUAGGCUGACGGUACCGCUAAAGGAAGCCCCGGCUAACUCCGUGCCAGCAGCCGCGGUAAUACGGGGGGGGCAAGCGUUGUUCGGAUUACUGGGCGUAAAGGGCUCGUAGGCGGCCAACUAAGUCGGACGUGAAAUCCCCAGGCUCAACCUGGGAACUGCGUCCGAUACUGGAUGGCUUGAUCCGGAAGAGGAUGCAAAAUUCCAGUGUAGCGGUGAAUGCGUAAAUUUUGGAGGAAUACGGUGGCGAAGGCGGCAUCUGGACCGCAUUGACGCUAAGAGCAAAGCCAGGGGAGCAACGGAUUAAAUACCCGGUUAUCCUGGCCUAAACGAUAAUGCUUGGUGUAACGGGUAUCAUUCCUGUUUGCCAAACUACGCAUUAACAUCCCCCGGGGAAUACGGUCCA
This 823-nucleotide ribosomal RNA is filed under the name uncultured Pseudomonadota bacterium. RNAcentral describes it as "bacterial SSU rRNA". It matches the Rfam family "Bacterial small subunit ribosomal RNA", at positions 66 to 889 of the family's 1533-position model. The record is from RNAcentral. Lineage: Bacteria; Pseudomonadati; Pseudomonadota.